GUCUCUUGAUUCAAACCGUCUUGAAAAGUAGAAGCGUCUCUGAUGACUGAGUGCCACCUGUUACUGGAAAGGGGCCAAAUGACCUCUGACCGGACUGCUGCUGGGGAGGUUGGGACACAUCUGUGAUUUCCAUCAGCAUCCACCUUUUUUGACCCAUCAAGAGGCGGGGGCAAAACUUGGUUAAGGAGGGGAAGUAGUUUUCAAAAAACAGAUGAAAGAAGCACCGGAGUCAAACAACUUAGUGCAAUGACCGAUUCUCUUUUGCACGAUUCUCAGAACUGACCUGUCCUUGGCUUUCCAAAAUGUUGCUUCCGGAAUAUUAACCCAUCAGGGUCCUGGAGAGAAGCCACAGCAAAUGAGCUGGCCCACAAGCCCAGAAGUGUGGCAUUGCCUUCCUGCCACCCAGCAACCCAGAGCCUCUCUGCUUAUUCUGCUUUCCUGUCCUUUCCAAGAUUAACAUUUGACCUGCCUUCUUUCCAUGACCCCCAUGACCAACCCUCUGGAUGGUGUGUCCUGAAUAAUAGAAUCAGAAAUAAAAUGAUUCUCCCGUUCCCCGAAGCACAUGCAGAGAAGACAACCUGCAGAGAGACACAGAGGUGGUGGUGCGGGGAAGUGAGCAGGAUCACUGACCAGCAAAUGACGUGUCUGAG
Long non-coding RNA from Zalophus californianus (California sea lion), 650 nucleotides. RefSeq lists it as uncharacterized. The transcript is spliced from 3 exons. The record is from RefSeq and is a predicted model, not a curated record. Lineage: Eukaryota; Metazoa; Chordata; Mammalia; Carnivora; Otariidae.